AAAAAAUUAGUUAAUAAUAUAACAUAAGAACGUCAAUCUUAAAUCACUAUAAAGUAUUUUUUA
RNAcentral lists this transfer RNA (63 nucleotides) under Pallenopsis patagonica. RNAcentral describes it as "tRNA-Asp". The record is from RNAcentral. Lineage: Eukaryota; Metazoa; Arthropoda; Pycnogonida; Pantopoda; Pallenopsidae.